UGUGUUCCCUCUCAUAGUCCAAGAUGGCUGAUUUAGUUCUUGCCAACAUACCUGUAUCCAAACCAUCUAAAGGAAUAAAGAGCUGGCACUGUAGCUUAUGCCUGUAAUCCCAGCUAUUCCGGAGGCUGAGGUAGGAGGAUCACGAGGCCAGGAGUUCAAGACCAGCCUGAGCAAGAUGGCAAGACCCUGUCUCUUAAAAAAAAAAGAGAGAGGGACAAAGGGAGACUGUGACCACUUCUUUUAAGAGCAUGAUCUGCAAGAGGAGCUUUAGAAAAUGGAUAUUCUGGCUGGGCGCGGUGACUCACGCCUGUAAUCCCAGCACCUUGGGAGGCCGAGGCGGGCAGAUCACCUGAUGUCGGGAGUUCAAGACCAGCCUGACCAACAUGUAGAAACCCCGUCUCUACUAAAAAUACAAAAUUAGCAGGGCUUGGUGGCGCAUGCCUGUAAUCCCAGCUACUCAGGAGGCUGAGGCAGGAGAAUCACUUGAACCCGGGAGGUGGAGUUUGUGGUGAGCCAAGAACACACCACUGCACUCCAGCAGCCGGGGCAAUAAGAGUGAAACUCCAUCUCAAAAAAAAAAAAGAAAGAAAAGAAAAUGGAUAUUCCUUUCCAUUGAGGAAGAUGGUUCAGAGAGAUUAACUUGACUUGUCCAAAGUCACAAACCUAGUAUAUGAUCCUGGAACUGAGACUCAGAGGCAGGCAGUGUUCUACACUGAAAAGAGCAUAGGGAAUGGCAAGAUUCCACAAGCUGGCAAGCUUGUAGUGAGAGAUACACAUGCACUGUUGGUGUAAAAUUGCUAAACAUCUCUAGUGAGCAGUUUUGCAAUGUAUUUUAAGUGACUAUCCCCUUUGAUCUAGCAAAUCCACUUACAUAUUACCUAUUUUAACUCGCAGAUAUUUCCAGGCCUAUGUGUGAGAAUAUUAAGUUCAAUAUUGUUGAAAUAACAAUAGAUUGAGAGCUAGUUAAUAAAUUAUAUUGCAUAUACCCAUUUAAUAAAAUACUAUACAAUUAUUAAAGAGUCUACUCUUUAUGGACUGAUAGGAUCAGAUCCAAACCAUAUUAAUAAAAUUAGCAAAGUACAGAACUGUGUAUGUAUUUUUUUAAUCAUUUGCCUUUAAAAAGAAAAUUUAUA
This 1133-nucleotide long non-coding RNA is filed under the name Homo sapiens (human). RNAcentral describes it as "HSALNT0150026". Lineage: Eukaryota; Metazoa; Chordata; Mammalia; Primates; Hominidae. The record is from RNAcentral.